This 253-nucleotide ribosomal RNA is filed under the name uncultured bacterium. Its description in RNAcentral is "partial 16S ribosomal RNA". It matches the Rfam family "Bacterial small subunit ribosomal RNA", at positions 524 to 776 of the family's 1533-position model. The record is from RNAcentral.
UACGGAGGGUGCAAGCGUUAUCCGGAUUCACUGGGUUUAAAGGGUGCGUAGGUGGGCAGGUAAGUCAGUGGUGAAAUCUCCGGGCUUAACCCGGAAACUGCCAUUGAUACUAUAGAUCUUGAAUAUCCUGGAGGUGAGCGGAAUAUGUCAUGUAGAGGUGAAAUGCUUAGAUAUGACAUAGAACACCAAUUGCGAAGGCAGCUCACUACGGGAUCAUUGACACUGAGGCACGAAAGCGUGGGGAUCAAACAGG